Molecule: long non-coding RNA, 7846 nt
Organism: Loxodonta africana (African savanna elephant)
Lineage: Eukaryota; Metazoa; Chordata; Mammalia; Proboscidea; Elephantidae
Exons: 4
Source: RefSeq, a predicted model, not a curated record
UGCCACCUGCCAAGCAAAGUGAGUGAGGCUUGAAGGAAAAGAGAGGGCAGACUCAGUGGGAAAAAUAUAACUUCCAUGGUACAAGGGGCUCUAUUUCCCAGUCUAUACAACCUAAUCUCCGCAUAAACUGAUCUCUAAAGUAGUCAGAGUCCCCCUGCAAGAAGAGCACCCCCUAACUCACUGCAGAGUUCUUGAACAAUCACAGUCUGAUCUGACCUGGAGUUUUCCCUUUUUUGCUUUCAGUAGAAACACCAAAGCCUCUCAGCUGAUUGGUCUUCAAUUUCAAUAUCCCUAAGAGAGGAAGGAGCUUUUCUUCUAUCCAUUCUAAUCAGAGGAAACAGCCCAGGCUGGAAAUAUCACACCUCGUUAGCACUUGUAUCCAAACCAAGACUCUAUUCCUAGAAAUCUCCCUUCUCUUAGUCCUACCAGUGCCUAGAAAGCAGCCUAUGCCCCACAUCUGUGCCCAGGUAAGGAUCUAGACCAUCAGAUCACAUUCCUACUCCUCUAAUCUGGCUUCUACAUUUGUCACUUCACAAGUUGGCUUGGCAGCGUCCACAGGGAAGGUGACAUUCAGCUUUUAGGCUAGUCAUUGAUAGGGCCAACCCUCACACUAUCACUCUGCUCCCUUGGGUCCUGAGUCCUGUAGAGGUGCAUGACCUCUUGCAGGAAGGAUAGGGGCUCCUUUACCCAGAAUCUCAGGUCUACAGGCCCAUGGACUCCUGGGCAUUCCUUCUCAACCACCCUGCAGAACAGCCCCCUCCCUAUUCCUGUUAGUUCUUACCCAACUACAUGAGCCUACUUCUUCCCAUCCAGGCUUUUGGCUUUCCUAUGUCUGGGUUUUUAUUGCUUCAUAGACUGAGCCUAGAUCGUAAACACACUCCUUACUUUCUGGAGUUUCUACAUCAAAUUGGUCAGAGGCUCAUUCUUUGGAUUAAGGAAGGAGUGGAUCCCAGUUUAUUCCCAGAGUUAAGAAUGGAGAGUCACGACAUGCUCUCUGCUGCUCACAAUUUUGUUAUAUCAAUGGAGCCUCCUGUUCGUCUCACUGUUGGUCUUCUAGAUACAGUUUGUUUUUAGAUAGGAAGGCCCCGAUUCCUUGGACCUUUGGUCUAUUCCGUUCUCCUCUCUCUUGCUGUAUUUCUAUUCUUUCUAUGGCUUUCUUUUAGUCACAGGGACAAUCUAUCACUUGGUGACAACUCUAAGAUGUAAGUUUUUUAAAUGCAUUUCCUCCACUUUAAGUUCAGAGUUACUUUAAGAGCAUUUCUCUUCCCUAGCCCUGAUGCUUUUUUGGCUGGGGUUUAAACCCAGUCCUGUUAUAGAGUUAUACUAAACCAUUCCUAGACUGAUGGGCCACUCCUAGAUUAGGCAACAAUAGCUCUCUUCCAGCAGCCAUUACAAUGCUCUUAGGAGGGCAGAAGCGCUCUUCCUCCCUGCCUAUUCCUAAAGGCAUACUAUCCUUGGCCUGUUCAUUUCCUUCUGAUAUCUGGGGAUUGACCCCCUUCCUCGGCGUCCCCAAGCCCUCUAGAACCUGGGUAAUCUUUGAUCCCUUGCUUAGAAACCAUAAUUCUUCCUUUCCUACCCCAUAGCUCCUUCCAUAAAGGCGAGAUGUCCAAGAACUGAGUCCUUCCCCUAGCUCUCAGGAAGACAGCAACAACCUUGCAUUGGAUUUACACUUCUUGUCCUUCCAACUACAAAAUGCCUGCAGUCAUAUACCUACACUGCAACUUCAAGCACUCUAAGCACUGUGGCUAAGGUUCUCCAGAGCUAAGGUACCCUAGAAACUUGCCCCAGUUUCAGCAGAAGUGGGGGCUGAGCUCAGCUGGGUCAAGUUUAUGGUAAAACAUGUUCUGGGGGAGGAGUCAGCCAAAAAUGCAGAGGGGCAAGAAGCCUGAGAUAUCAAUGACAGAAAACCAUGACCUCCUGGCUUUACUGGCAGUUGUCAAGGAGCUCCAAAAAGUACUAACGUCUGGAUUCACUUUUAUUUGGCACCCCUUCUCUCCAGGGGGCUCCCCCAUUUCACGAACUUCAGGCAGUCCUAAUUCCACUGAGAAGCCAGUCAUUCACUGAGGUUCCUUUCCACACUAGGAUCAUCCCUUCCUCACUGUUUUCUUCCCUGUCCUCUGCAAAGCUGGCUCCAGCCUGGUUGCUUCAGUGAGCUUUCUCUGCCUCCUGGCUAGAGUAGGAGCUGAGAGGCUGCCAAUUCUCAAAAAUACCUCAGCCCUUAAAAAAUACACCUGUGCUCCCUCUAUCCUAAGGUGAGGAGGGGUGGGCAGCAGGUAUUCAUGGAACCCUACACCACCUUAUCUGUACAACUCUGUAUUCCCAAAGGACAGCAAAGCUUAAAAAAAGAAAAAAAAAAUCCUGGCAAUAUGCCAGGUAACCACUGACAAGAGCUGCAACUUAAGACUAGACAAACACACAAAUGAAUCUUAAGACAAUGCAUGCAAAGAGAACACAGGCCUAUUGACUGCCUAGCCGAGUACACACCUACACCCACAGUUCUUUUUAUCUUCAAAGACCUGGAUGUCCACAAGCACACCUCUAGCAUACACACUGUUGUGACAGAUAGCCUACACAGUCCAUACCUCCUUCUCUCCCUCUUCUUCCUUGAGGCAGAAAUAUGGGGAUUAGGGUAAUCUUUAGCUUGGACCCCUCUCCUAUAUCUCAACUUUUAAAAGACAAAGGGGAUCUGCAAAGAUGCCAAGUAGUCCCAGUGUUCUGGGCUACCUUGGCACCUAGCUUGUCUCCAUCAAACUAGAGUUCUAAACCUUGGAAUAACCCUUUUAAUGGUAACUAAGGAAAAAAAGACCCCAGCUAGGCAGACUACCCUUUUCCUCCAACUCAGUCCAGGUAUCCAGUUAGAGUCAAGGACUAUGCUUAAACUCUCUAUGCCAGCUCUGAGAGAGGGAGAGGGUAGAAGAGGAAAGAGAAGGGUCUUGCUUAGAGGUCCCUCAUGGUUUCUCUACAAAUGUGAGAGCUUAACCCUUCCCAAAGGUGACAGUAGAACUCAGGCUAUCUAGUCUCACUAGAUGAUGUAUCAUCAGUUCAAGCCUUUCUCCUUCUGCCUCCAGGCAACCAGAUGCCCCAGCAGAAUUCUCAACCCGGCAAAGCUACAAAUACAUGCAACUUUUCCAAAGCCAUGCUGUGUUACAAGGGAGGGGUAAGUUGUGCUCUACUCAAUGGAAAUGGGACCCAGGUGUUACAUAUAAAAAAUAAAUAAACAUUUGAAGAAAUAAAAAGGGGAAAAGGAGAGGGCGAGGGAGAGAGACCUUGAGGUUCUUAAAGAGUAGUACCCUCUCUAACUGGUUCAGGGCUUUGGGCUGCUCCCCACUACUUAGCUCCAGUUUGUUGAGGAGACAUGGAGAAAUCUGUGAAAGACAGGCAAACGCACGAUUUAAACAGAGUGAAAUAAACUCAGACACACACCAACAGGGCACAGGGCAGGAAUGGGAAUGGAUGGCAGGGUAGAGGGGAAGGUCAGGUGCAUGCACCAAACAGCCAAAGGUCAUCUCCAUGGGCAGAACCUCUUAGGGCUGCAAGUAGAAUUCUCAUCAGAGGCCUGUGAAGUCCAGGGCUUCAGUUUACAAUAGAAAGAGGCCAUUUUUCUGACCACCAUUCUUCUCCCAGCAGUUUGAGAACCUUCCAACCUGGAGUCAGGCUUGAUCUGUCUCUUCAACAGAGGCUAGCACAAGCGUGAGCCCAAACUAAUCCAGCAUUAUGGUGGGAUUUGGAGCACAGUCUGUCUAGGCUCCUACCUGCUGAAAAGGCAGGGUUCUGAGGGGAUGGCAGGACUUUCAUUUUUGUCAACACACAUUUUCAGGCCAGCCUGGUAGGCCUCGCCCAGGGUCCAUGAAGGACUUGCUCACCAGCUUAUAUGAUGGGUCAACAAAGGCCAGAAAGGAAAAGUUAAGGAAGGAGAGGCAUCUGGGAGAGAAUAAAUUGCCCACUGAAGGAGUGGUAGCUAUUUUCUAGAUUCCAAGCAGACCUGUUUAGACAAAAGCAUGUCUUUGCUAAGCAAGCCUAUCCAGGAAAAUCCCCACAGCACUGAAGCUGGGAGAUCAAGGCUUAGAUGAGGGACAGCAGACCAGCUCCCAGAUCAUACCUUUUUCAUGUUGGUCCCCACAUAGUUCUUCGGUUCUUCUUUAAACUGAGGUAACCUACAAGAUAGAGAACCCCAGAGAAUGUCAUUAGGUAUAAUGACAAAUUCCCCCCCUCUAGCCAGCCACCACCCAAAAAUGUUCUGGGCCAGAGCAUGACCUGUUUCUCAGGAAAACCUAGGAAGAGAAAAAGGCUAAUCUCAUCCUUUUUCAGAGCUUCAUCAAAGAACCACAGGAACUGGGGGAUGCAUGACAUGAACACUUUUUGAAAGAGAAAGUAAAGUCCUCAGGGCAAGGUGACUAAGUGCCCUUGGAGUGUGGAGGUUCUUUUUAUCCUUAAACAGAUUCCACCCUGCUUGCGUUCACUUCUAAGUGUUGCUGAAAGCCAAGAGAUGGGGAGAGGGAAGUCUAUCAAAUCCUCAGGAGACUGGGCAUAGGCUGAGAAGAAAAAGGUAGGUUGAGGUUUUGAAACUAGUAGAUUUGAACUUCUGGAGUAAGAAACUCUUUGCAGCAGGGACCACAGACAGACGUAGUAAGCAAGGAUUAUUACCUACAGAUUUGAAGAGCAAAAAGAAAUCCCAGAGGGAGGUUUUAAAGCCAUUUCCUCAGCUCUUCUCAAAACUAGUCUAUUGAAAGGAGGUGUAGGAAACAGGCAGUAGGGCAUAGUAUGAAAAGGCAUCCUAGGCCCUAGGCUGAGGGCUUUGCCCAGGGUAACUAACCAUCCUGGUUUGCCUGGUACUGAGGGGCUUCCCAGCAUGUGGGACUUUCAGUCUUAAAAUCAGGACAAAAAAACCCAAAAAACAAAAACCAAACCUGUUGCCUUUGAGUCAGUUCCGACUCAUAGUGACCCUACAGAAAAUGGAGACGGUCCCAGGCAAACCAAGAUUACUGGUCGCCCUAUCCUUGGUCCCUCCUACAGUGAUCAGGACAAGCUCUGGGAGCUCAGCUCUCUAUUCCAGUCACCCUUGGACUUGGCUUCCUCUCUGGGUUCUCUUUCCCAGCUGUUACCUGAACAGAAACAGACACUAGUUUGGGACACAGAAUGAGGUCUGUUAGCCUAGAUUAAAUAACUCUCUACGCCUCCCUGAAGCCAAGCAAGCUCCCUCUUCUUUUUCCCUUGCCCGGUAACCCUGGGCCCAGAGAGCUACCCCCAUCCUUAAUCCCAGUGGCCUCUGAUAUGGCUGUGGGGUUGGCUGGGUCCCUGAAGUGGCUAUGUGGAAGCAGGCAGGCUCAAGAGGCCUGGGUAGCCGGGCUGAAGCAAACAGCAGCAGGUUUACCUUGUGAAGAGCAGCUGCACCAUGUCUACGAGAGUGUGCUCUGCGGAUUUUCUCAAUAACUCUGCACAAGCGAAAACAAAUAACACAGGUGUCAUUACUUGCUGUGCUAUUAUCAGGAGGCUUCUCAGAGCAGACUCCCCUCCAAACCUUGUUUACCAAGGAUUAUGCCAAACUUAUUAAAACCAGCUCCAGCUCAGCCUGGCAACCAUAAUGUCACUGGCCCACUAGGUGGCACUACUGAGUCAGGAAGAAAGGGGAGCAAUGCAUGUGUUCUGUGCAGUUGCAGGCUGGUGUCAAUCCCAGAAACCCUAGGGGAGGAAGAGUUGAUGCCUGAGCUGAGUCAGCCUGGAAUCCAUCCCACCUUCUGCCCUGGCACAAUGGGUUGAGGUCUCUAUUCUAUCUUCACAACAAGGAGUCAAGGACAAAGACUUCCAGACCCCUAUGACUCCACGAGGUGGGUGAUGGAGAAAUCCUGAGUUUUUCCUGUCUCUGGGGUUCAUCAGAGACAGCAUCCUGUGUUCAUGCUUACAGAUGCUGGCCCCAGGCAUGGUGAAGGAGACGAGAUUUAUGCACCUACCACUAAGCCUCAUUUCAAAGCAGAUCCGGAAGCAAGACUGCAUGAUCUCACACACUGAUUCAUUGGUCAGAAAAAGCUUUUACUUUGGGUACUCGAGCUGCUUGUUUGGAAACAAAGCCGCUCCCUAAGCCCCAGUGGAAUCAAAACACAGCUUCAAGUUGCCAGCAGACUAGGGAAACUCCAAUGACCAGCUGGCCUGAAGUCUCCAAUAACUAGCCUGUCUGCCAAGUUCAAGAAGGGAAGAAAGUAACAGGGACAAGACAGCAGAGGGAAAAGGCACAAGGGGGCAGCUGCUGGAGGCUGUGAAGAGAGAUGACCUGCAGGUGGUGCUCAGGGCAAGGCUGGAACUGGCUGGGCCUGAUUACGCUUAGGAAAAGUAUGAAGGGCUUGGGUGCCUGGAGAGGCUGAUACACCUAUUCAGAACCUAGCUGGCACCCAGGAUUCCUGCUCAGGAUCCUGAAUGCAUCAGCUAUGCAAACCCAACCUUCUAGAAUAGAUAAAUUUUCUUGCCCUGAUCUUAAGGCCAUUUUACAGCCUGAGCCUUAUCUUGUUUUGUUCCCCUACUUAGAAACAAAGACAGCCGUGUGUUUUCUAUGUUCCUCACACUUGCACACGGGCUGACAGUAAGGGAAAAGAAUCCAGGACCCUGAACAAUGAGACCAACUGAAAAGUAAUCCAAAGGAGACACCAUAAACUAUUCCAGAGAUAAACAACAGACUAGGUAAAUAUUUGGGCUAGACUGGGAGAAAAUACUUGUAAUACUAUCAUAGACUAAGGGUUGAUAUUCCUGAAAAAAGAGCCCUAUAAAUGAUAAGAAAAACAAAGACAACAACAACUCAGUUGAAAAAAAAAAAAAAAAAGGGCAGUGGAGAAGAAAUUCAAACAGCCAAUGUUCAAUCUCAAGGAAAUAAAAACACCACCAUACCAGUUUUCACCCACCAGAUUAGCAUAAGUAAAGAACAGUGAUAAUAUUCAGUGCUGGUGAUAGGGAAGGGGAUGGAUGCUCUUAUACAUUGCUGGUGGAAGGGUAAAAUGCUGUAACCUUUUGGGAAGGCAACCUGGGAGGACCUAUGAAAAUGUAAUAUGCACAUGGCCUUCAAUCCAGAAACCCCAGGUAAAUAGGAAUCUGCUCUACAAAAUGAAAUUUGUAAAUAAGGACAUAUGAACAAUGAUGCUUUUUUUUAGCACUAUUUAUAAUGGCUCCAAAUAGCAAACAACUUAAAUAUUAAUCAAUAAGAAAAUGAUUGAUUAAUUGUGUUAUAGUUGUACUAUGGAAAUUACAGAGCUAUCAAAAAUAAUAGAUCAGAUUGGUAAUUCUAUCAUGUACAUCUAAUACUAUCAAGUGAAAAAACAAAAUAUGUAGCACAUAAUUCUAUUUUUAUUUCUUUUUAAAAAAGGUGUGGUACUUAAAUAUAUUUAUACACACAUAGAGAGUCACACCAGGCUGUUAACACUAUUUACCUCAAGCAGGGGAAGAAGCACUGAGAAAGAAGACAGACCAUUAACUUUUUUUUUUUUUUAGAUACCUCUUUAUUUUUUGUCUUCUUACAAUAAAAUUGGCAUGUAUUAUAUUGGAAAAGUAACUAAAAAUAAACCAAAUCAACAAACAAAACCUCCAAGGGCCUUAUACCCUUAACUCCCUCCUAGGCAUGCUCAGAAGAACCCAGAGUCCCAGUGAAACCUCCCCCCCUUCCCCACUCAAUACAAACAGUCAAUUAGCAUGAUAAGUAGCCAAUAACAAUCAUAUUUCUCUUAUAUAAGGAAAGAGAUGGCUGGAAAAAAAUUUCUCAGUAUCACCAGCUCAUUGCCUAGGGCCUGGCCCCUCCUCUCCUCCCACAGAGAGGCAGGAAAUGAAGUGCUGUGGUUAUCCAAGAAAAGUCUGAGCUCUUACCUAUGAG